GACGAACGCUGGCGGCGUGCCUAAUACAUGCAAGUAGAACGCUGAAGGAGGAGCUUGCUUCUCUGGAUGAGUUGCGAACGGGUGAGUAACGCGUAGGUAACCUGCCUGGUAGCGGGGGAUAACUAUUGGAAACGAUAGCUAAUACCGCAUAAGAGUAGAUGUCGCAUGACAUUUGCUUAAAAGGUGCAAUUGCAUCACUACCAGAUGGACCUGCGUUGUAUUAGCUAGUUGGUGAGGUAACGGCUCACCAAGGCAACGAUACAUAGCCGACCUGAGAGGGUGAUCGGCCAAACUGGGACUGAGACACGGCCCAGACUCCUACGGGAGGCAGCAGUAGGGAAUCUUCGGCAAUGGACGGAAGUCUGACCGAGCAACGCCGCGUGAGUGAAGAAGGGUGUCGGAUCGUAAAGCUCUGUUGUAAGAGAAGAACGAGUGUGAGAGUGGAAAGUUCACACUGUGACGGUAUCUUACCAGAAAGGGACGGCUAACUACGUG
This 495-nucleotide ribosomal RNA is filed under the name uncultured bacterium. RNAcentral's name for it is "partial 16S ribosomal RNA". It matches the Rfam family "Bacterial small subunit ribosomal RNA", at positions 28 to 507 of the family's 1533-position model. The record is from RNAcentral.